UAGACUUUUAUUGAAGAAAAAGAGGAAUUUAAUUUAAUCUCUCAUUGACUGAAGGUGUCUUGCAGCUGUGACUCAUUCAAACAUAUUUUGAAAACAUGCUCAUUUUGAAUCACCAAUCAGUCAACCCAAUAUUAAUUGAACACUGAAGGCUUUUGGCACCCUGACUACAUGGCAUGGGAAAUCUAUUCCAUGGAUAGAAGUCUCUCCAAAGUGCAACAAAAAACUUCAAACAAAUCAACCAACCUAAACUAAAGACCUAUACAUAAAAUAUUCCAAGGUCUCCUAUAACUACUAUGAUAUCUGAUGAAUGUUAUGAAUGGUUAUAUAUGAACAUUUGGUAUGACAAGCCCCUGUCUUGGAGAACAGCACUUUACACAGAUCAAGGUAGCAAGACAAUUCCCUUCAUUUUGUGACAAACAUGCUAUUUGGACUUCAUACACUCCCCUAAAGGAAAUAAGAAACUUUCUUACCUUACCUGCCACCCCAAUGAUUCUAUACCAUUCUACUAACAGAAUUUGUCCUCAUGGAUAAGAGUGUGGGUUAAACAAGCCCCUGUCCUUCCACCUACACUGCCAGCAAAUUGCAGCAGAAGUUAGAAUGGCAACAUAGUUAAAUGUUACUAGAAAUUUGUUUACUGGUCAAAUUAAAAACAUUAAAAAAAAACAAACUGAAAAAAACCCCAAAACAAACACCGUCAUCAUAGCUACCUUUUCUUUGUCUAAAUCCCAGACUGAAAUCUGUGCUGCUUCCUUAUUCUAUUUGAAAAUAUUUGAACUAAAUGGCAUAAACAAUCCCGAGAUGACUGGAAUGUAAAAUCAUCCUUUUCUUGUACCUUGACUAUCAUGGAACUUAAAAUCACCCUUUUCUUGUAUCCUAUCAGGCCCAAAAUCCCGUGGAUCCUGAAGAGGUAAUCUAGCUGAAAAUGCCACAUUUUUAUGUAUUUACUAUUAGAAUUCCCCAUCUGCAGCUUUCUUGGAACCCAAUCUGCGUGCUGCGGAGGUAGAAUGGUGAGGACUACCUGAAUGUAGUUGGGGCAUGGGACUAGAUGCUGCAAACUAUUUUUCUGGUCUGUGUAACUUCAGUUUAAUAGAUAAAAGAAGCUGCUUCUAAAA
This is a long non-coding RNA of Pipra filicauda (Wire-tailed manakin), 1112 nucleotides long. RefSeq lists it as uncharacterized. The transcript has 3 exons. NCBI's taxonomy places the organism in Eukaryota, Metazoa, Chordata, Aves, Passeriformes, Pipridae. The record is from RefSeq and is a predicted model, not a curated record.